UAGUGUUGUAGUGUGUUAGAAUUUAUCUAGCAGGCUUUCCAGUCCACCCCGGAAGGCCCCC
This 61-nucleotide small nuclear RNA is filed under the name Carlito syrichta (Philippine tarsier). RNAcentral's name for it is "U7 small nuclear RNA (ENSTSYG00000025300.2)". It matches the Rfam family "U7 small nuclear RNA". From Rfam's summary of the family: Animal histone pre-mRNAs are spliced by a different mechanism than nuclear pre-mRNAs and self-splicing introns. This processing involves the U7 snRNP, which contains only one RNA species: U7. The 5' end of U7 RNA is thought to base-pair to a conserved spacer element downstream of the cleavage site in histone pre-mRNA. The record is from Rfam by way of RNAcentral. Lineage: Eukaryota; Metazoa; Chordata; Mammalia; Primates; Tarsiidae.